CGGGGGGAGCAAGCGUUGUUCGGAUUUACUGGGCGUAAAGGGCGCGUAGGCGGCCACCGCAAGUCGACUGUGAAAUCUCCGGGCUUAACCCGGAAAGGUCAGCCGAUACUGCGGGGCUAGAGUGCAGAAGGGGCAACUGGAAUUCUCGGUGUAGCGGUGAAAUGCGUAGAUAUCGAGAGGAACACCUGCGGCGAAGGCGGGUUGCUGGGCUGACACUGACGCUGAGGCGCGAAAGCUAGGGGAGCGAACGGGAUUAGAUACCCCGGUAGACCUAGCCUUAAACGAUGAAUGCUUGGUGUCUGGGGUUUUAUAGUCCCCGGGUGCCGUCGCUAACGCUCUAAGCAUUCCGCCUGGGGAGUACGGUCGCAAGACUG
This 374-nucleotide ribosomal RNA is filed under the name uncultured organism. Its description in RNAcentral is "bacterial SSU rRNA". It matches the Rfam family "Bacterial small subunit ribosomal RNA", at positions 526 to 896 of the family's 1533-position model. The record is from RNAcentral.